AGUGGAUGGGGAGCAACCUAGUUGUGCGUGUGUAAAGGUAGUGCCAAGAAAAGCGGUGAUCAUGAUGAAAAUCAAUUCCCGGUACCCGAAACCGACACAGGUGGGCAAGUAGAGAAUACUAAGGGGCGCGAGGUAACUCUCUCCAAGGAACUCGGCAAAAUGACCCCGUAACUUAGGGAGAAGGGGUGCCACCGAGAGGUGGUCGCAGUGAAGAGGCCCAGGCGACUGUUUAGCAAAAACAUAGGUCUCUGCAAACUCGAAAGAGGAGGUAUAGGGGCUGACGCCUGCCCAGUGCCGGAAGGUUAAAGAAGUUGGUCAGUCUUAGGAUGAAGCUAGCGACUGAAGCCCCGGUGAACGGCGGCCGUAACUAUAACGGUCCUAAGGUAGCGAAAUUCCUUGUCGGGUAAGUUCCGACCCGCACGAAAGGCGUAACGAUCUGGGCGCUGUCUCGGAGAGAGGCUCGGCGAAAUAGGAUUGUCUGUGAAGAUACGGACUACCUGCAUUUGGACAGAAAGACCCUAUGAAGCUUUACUAUAGCUUGGAAUUGUGUUCGGGCUUCCUGUGCGCAGGAUAGGUGGGAGGCGUAGAAGGUAUUCUUGUGGGGAUACUGGAGCCAACGGUGAGAUACCACUCUCAGGAGGCUAGAAUUCUAACUUAAUUAAGGACAGUUUCAGGUGGGUAGUUUGACUGGGGCGGUCGCCUCCAAAAGGUAACGGAGGCGUACAAAGGUUCCCUCAGACUGGUUGGAAAUCAGUCGAAGAGUGCAAAGGCAGAAGGGAGCUUGACUGCGAGAAGUACAGUUCGAGCAGGGUGGAAACACGGUCUUAGUGAUCCGACGGUGCUGUGUGGAAGGGCCGUCGCUCAACGGAUAAAAGUUACUCUAGGAUAACAGGCUGAUCUCCCCCAAGAGUUCACAUCGACGGGGAGGUUUGGCACCUCGACGUCGGCUCAUCGCAACCUGGGGCGGAAGUACGUCCCAAGGGUUGGGCUGUUCGCCCAUUAAAGCGGUACGUGAGCUGGGUUCAGAACGUCGUGAGACAGUUCGGUCCAUAUCCGAUGUAGGCGUGAGAAUAUUGAGAGGAGCCUUCCUUAGUACGAGAGGACCGGGAAGGACGCACCGCUGGUGUACCUGUUAUGAUGCCAAUUGUAAACGCAGGGUAGCCAAGUGCGGAGAGGAUAACCGCUGAAAGCAUCUAAGUGGGAAGCCCACCUCAAGAUGAGUAUUCUGGUGUAAGGUCACGGGAAGACGACCCGUAAAUAGGCACGAGGUGGAAGUGCAGAGAUGUAUGAAGCCGAAGUGUACUAAUAGACCGUCGGCUUGAU
This 1323-nucleotide ribosomal RNA is filed under the name metagenome. RNAcentral's name for it is "bacterial LSU rRNA". It matches the Rfam family "Bacterial large subunit ribosomal RNA", at positions 1561 to 2925 of the family's 2925-position model. The record is from RNAcentral.